This is a long non-coding RNA of Aphis gossypii (cotton aphid), 813 nucleotides long. RefSeq lists it as uncharacterized. The transcript has 2 exons. The record is from RefSeq and is a predicted model, not a curated record. NCBI's taxonomy places the organism in Eukaryota, Metazoa, Arthropoda, Insecta, Hemiptera, Aphididae.
UUAUUUUGUAUUAUAAAUCUUAAAUUAUUGUUUCAUUUUUUCAUGGAGUUGUUCCUUUUUGCCUCUCGAGCUGCAUGGUCGUAUCCCAGCCAGUGGUGUACAUUCGUUGUUUAUUUUUUCGUGGUACCAAGUCUUAGACAUCAGGUUUUUUUCCUUUUUUUUGUCUUUAACUACAUUGUUUUUUUUUUUUUUUGUCAAUUCCAUUAUAUUUUUUUAUUGUAUCUAAAGGAUCUGGUGGUCAAGACACAUCAAAAGCACGAGGUCGAUUUUUUUAUUGUAUACUCUGCUGUGUUUUUGGUUGUUGGCGCGUUGUAUAAAGUAUUCGUUGAACUGGUGGCUCGUUGGUCGUACGUUCUCGGGGUUGUCGCACAUUUUAUUUUAUAUUGUAUUUUUUAUUGUACAAGUGUGGGCAUCCCGAGACGGUAGCGUUCUGGUUCAAAGCCGCCAACGGACACCAGUUCUCAGGUAAGAGGCUGACGAGCCUCAUCAUUAUUAUUAUUAUAAUUUCAUUUAUUUUUUUAUAUAGCCAGCGUAGGAAAAAUUAUUAUUUUAUACUUGUUGUAUUGAGCCGGCUUAGGCCAAUAUUAUAUUUUUGUAUGUCCGUCUAAGGGCAAUUUGUCAUAUUUUUAUACUAUUGUGGAGCCAGCUUAGGCCAAUUUUUUUGUAUAUUCAUUGUGGUAUUAAGCCAACAGGCUAAAAUUUAUACAUUAUACUUUUUUUUUAUUAUAUUGUUGAGCUAGCAUAAGACAACAGCCUGAGUUUGUCAUUAUUAUUAAUAUAUUUUUAGUUCCUAUUAAAACAAAGUUACCAGUA